CUGGUCUGCUGCCAGGUGGAAGACUAGUGAUUUUGUUGUUGAAAUAUGAAAAUGAGCAACAAGUCACAGUCUCCCGUCUAGCACAGACUUC
RNAcentral lists this microRNA precursor (91 nucleotides) under Petromyzon marinus (sea lamprey). Its description in RNAcentral is "microRNA pma-mir-7a precursor (pma-mir-7a-2)". Its record names the gene pma-mir-7a-2. It matches the Rfam family "mir-7 microRNA precursor family". From Rfam's summary of the family: This family represents the microRNA (miRNA) precursor mir-7. In this case the mature sequence comes from the 5' arm of the precursor. Lineage: Eukaryota; Metazoa; Chordata; Hyperoartia; Petromyzontiformes; Petromyzontidae. The record is from miRBase by way of RNAcentral.